CCUACGGGCGGCAGCAGUGGGGAAUAUUGGACAAUGGGGGGGAACCCUGAUCCAGCCAUGCCGCGUGUGUGAAGAAGGCCCUCGGGUUGUAAAGCACUUUCAGUGAGGAAGAACGCCUGGUGGUUAAUACCCAUCAGGAAAGACAUCACUCACAGAAGAAGCACCGGCUAACUCCGUGCCAGCAGCCGCGGUAAUACGGAGGGUGCGAGCGUUAAUCGGAAUUACUGGGCGUAAAGCGCGCGUAGGUGGCUUGAUAAGCCGGUUGUGAAAGCCCCGGGCUCAACCUGGGAACGGCAUCCGGAACUGUCAAGCUAGAGUGCAGGAGAGGAAGGUAGAAUUCCCGGUGUAGCGGUGAAAUGCGUAGAGAUCGGGAGGAAUACCAGUGGCGAAGGCGGCCUUCUGGACUGACACCGACACUGAGGUGCGAAAGCGUGGGUAGCAAACAGGAUUAGAUACCCUUGUAGUC
RNAcentral lists this ribosomal RNA (466 nucleotides) under Vreelandella stevensii. Its description in RNAcentral is "partial 16S ribosomal RNA". It matches the Rfam family "Bacterial small subunit ribosomal RNA", at positions 338 to 795 of the family's 1533-position model. The record is from RNAcentral. Lineage: Bacteria; Pseudomonadati; Pseudomonadota; Gammaproteobacteria; Oceanospirillales; Halomonadaceae.